UACGUAGGGCGCGAGCGUUGUCCGGAAUUAUUGGGCGUAAAGAGCUCGUAGGCGGCCUGUUGCGUCCGCUGUGAAAUCCCAGGGCUUAACCCUGGGCGUGCAGUGGAUACGGGCAGGCUGGAGGCAGGCAGGGGAGAACGGAAUUCCCGGUGUAGCGGUGAAAUGCGCAGAUAUCGGGAGGACCACCGGUGGCGAAGCCGGUUCUCUGGGCCUUACCUGACGCUGAGGCGCGAAAGCUAGGGGAGCGAACAGG
This 253-nucleotide ribosomal RNA is filed under the name uncultured bacterium. RNAcentral's name for it is "partial 16S ribosomal RNA". It matches the Rfam family "Bacterial small subunit ribosomal RNA", at positions 524 to 776 of the family's 1533-position model. The record is from RNAcentral.